CUGGAAGCGGUCUGUGAGCAGGUGUUUGUCGUAGGGAGGAGAGGGGCUCUGAGGCAUGGUGGACUGGUACCAGUCUCUGUUCUCCUCCAACGUGUCCAGCAGGUCCUGAGCAUCAGGGUGGACCAGGUCACCCCACGUCUCCCACAGAGGGUGGACUAUGUAGUCUAUGAAACCCACCUGGAGUCAGAGAGAGGGAGGGAGAGGGAGAGGGAGGGAGAGGAAGGGAGAGUGGGAGGGAGAAAGGGAGAGUGAGAAAGGGAUGGGGAGGGAGAGAGAGGGAAAGGGAGAUGAGAAAGGGAGAUAGAGAAAGGGAGAGAGAGAAGGAGAGAGAGGGAGGGAGAGAGAGAGAGACACACCAACAGAUUUUUCACCUUGUCUGCUUGAAGAUUUGAACUAGUGACCUUUUGGUUAUUGGCCCAAUGCUCUAACUGUCUAACUGUCUAACUGUCAAACUGUGUAACUGCUAACUGCCUAACUAACUGCCUAACUGUCUAACUGUCUAACUGUCUAACUGUGUAACUGCCUAACUGUCUAACUGUCUAACUGUCUAACUGUCUAACUGUCUAACUGUCUAACUAACUGUCUAACUGUGUAACUGUCUAACUGUGUAACUGUGUAACUGUCUAACUGUGUAACUGUCUAACUGUCUAACUGCCUAACUGCCUAACUGUCUAACUGUCUAACUGCCUAACUGCCUAACUGUCUAACUGUCUAACUGUCUAACUGUCUAACUGUCUAACUGUCUAACUGCCUAACUGUCUAACUGUCUAACUGUCUAACUGCCUAACUGCCUAACUGUCUAACUGUCUAACUGCCUAACUGUCUAACUGUCUAACUGUCUAACUGUCUAACUGUCUAACUGUCUAACUGCCUAACUGUCUAACUGUGUAACUGUGUAACUGCCUAACUGUCUAACUGUCUAACUGUCUAACUGUCUAACUGUCUAACUGUCUAACUGUCUAACUGUCUAACUGUCUAACUGCCUAACUGUCUAACCCCCCUAGUG
Molecule: long non-coding RNA, 1006 nt
Organism: Oncorhynchus tshawytscha (Chinook salmon)
Lineage: Eukaryota; Metazoa; Chordata; Actinopteri; Salmoniformes; Salmonidae
Source: Ensembl